RNAcentral lists this ribosomal RNA (1380 nucleotides) under Heliconius pachinus. RNAcentral describes it as "16S ribosomal RNA". Lineage: Eukaryota; Metazoa; Arthropoda; Insecta; Lepidoptera; Nymphalidae. The record is from RNAcentral.
GGGGAAAAAUUAAAAAAUUAUAUUUAAUAAAAAAAUUUUUAAUAUUGGGGGAUGUUAAAGUAUUUUUUAUAAAAAAAAUAUAAUUAUUUAUAGUAAAAUAGUAUUGAUAAAGAAGUUUGAAAUAAAUUUGAAAAUAAAUUAAUUAAAAAGUAAAUUUUAAUUAUUGUAUCUUGUGUAUCAGAGUUUAUUAAAAAAUAUUUGUUAAUUAAAAAAAUCUCGAAUUUAAAAGAGUUAAUUAAUUAAAAAAUUUAAUGUUGAAUAAUUAUUUUAAAUAAUUAAUUUGAAAUGAAAUGUUAAUCGUUUUUAAAUAUAUCUAGUUUUUUUAGAAAAAAAUUUAAUUUUAAAUUUAAAAUAUUUUUUAAUUUUUUAUUUAAUUAAAAAAUUUUUAAAAUUAAAUAUAUUAAGGGAUAAGCUUUAAUUUAAAAAUUUAUAUAAAUAUAUAUAUAUAUAUAUAUAUAUAUAUAUAUAUAUAUAUAUAUAUAUAUAUAUAUAUAAAUUAAAUUUAAAAUUUUUAGAAUUUAUAUUGUUUAUAAAAUAAAAUUUAUUAUAAAAAAUUUUAAAAAGAAAAUAAAAUUUAAAAUUAUAUUUAAAUUUUUAUAAAAAUAUAAUUUUUAAUGAAAAAAAAUUAGAAAUAAUGAUAAAAUUAGUAUAUUAAAUUUUUAUAUAUUAAAUUUAAAUUAAAAUUAGUUUAAAGGAAUUCGGCAAAUUUUUAUAUUCACUUGUUUAUCAAAAACAUGUCUUUUUGAUUAAUAAUUUAAAGUCUAAUCUGCCCACUGAUUUAAAAAUUAAAGGGCUGCAGUAUAUUGACUGUACAAAGGUAGCAUAAUAAUUAGUCUUUUAAUUGAAGACUUGUAUGAAAGAUUUGAUGAAAUAUAAACUGUCUCUAAAUUAAAAGUUGAAAUUAAUUUUUUUAUUAAAAAGUUAAAAUAAUUUAAAAAGACGAGAAGACCCUAUAGAGUUUUAUAAUUAUAAUUUUUUAAUAUUUAAUAUAUAAUAAUAAAUUUAAAAAAUUAUAAUUAUUUUGUUGGGGUGAUAGAAAAAUUAAAAUAACUUUUUUUAAAAAAUAAACAUGAAUAAUUGAAUAAAUGAUCCAUAAAUUAUGAUUAAAAGAAAAAAUUACCUUAGGGAUAACAGCGUAAUUUUUUUUUUUAGUACAAAUAAAAAAAAAAGGUUGCGACCUCGAUGUUGGAUUAAGAUAAAAUUUAAAUGCAAAAGUUUAAAAUUUUGAUCUGUUCGAUCAUUAAAAUCUUACAUGAUCUGAGUUCAAACCGGUGUGAGCCAGGUUGGUUUCUAUCUUUUAAAUAAGAAAAUAUUUUAGUACGAAAGGAUCAAAUAUUUUAAAUAAUUUAAUUUUAAGAAUAUUAUUAAUAUUUAAUUUAA